UCAACGUCUACAAGCAGCGGAUGUGGCAGAUCGGUAUCCCAUGAGACAUAGUCGAACUUGUCAUGUGCAAAUCAUUCGGAAGUACCUUCACUGGUCCAACGCUAGAAUGGCUUAUGAAUACCAAUACCACCCUUGGAUAUGUUGCCUUCCUCGCCGACCUGAUCAAUGCCUUUUACCAGCAGUCGUCAGCUAGGGUAGCAAACUAGUGACCUUUAUUGGUUGGUCCAAGAUCCCACCGAGUCGGUACGUAAUUAUUUCAGUCGAUUUAAUUGUGAAAAAAAUUAUUAUUAAAAACUGUGAUGUCAAGACAGCUAUUAAAGCCUUCAAAAGAGGUCUCUUCCCUAAUUCGGAGUUGUACCGGGAAAUCACCAAAUGUGCUUGUGCAAUGUUCGAAGAGAUUAGGUCCAGAGCUUGCACCCAAAUGCGCCUGGAGGAUGAUGAAGCAAUCCGGGCAUCAGCACCACGACCAGCAGGGGGCAACAACGACAGAAGAUUGUACACCCAGAGGAACAACAAUUGGCGACACCAACCAUAGAAUCGCCAAAACUAGGUACAAAAUGUCAAUCAAUAUGAUGAUACUAACAAUGGUUACAGGAAUGAGUAGGCCGACUACCCAGACAUCUCAGAGCACAGUUUCAAAGUCAACAUCAGAGGCGUCGUCACGCUCUUCAAAACGUUGGUGGGAACGUCAGGUGGCCCAGAAAGAGCGAUAAGCCAGACUCCAUGAAGAACAUGAGCAAAUGGUGUGAGUUCCACCGCGACAACGACCACAGAACCGAGGAUUGCAUCUCCCUCAAAAAGGAGCUUGCAUAUCUGUUGACGCGGGGGCUCUUAACGAAGCUGCUAAGAGACAAAGGGAAGGAGGCCUACAACAAGGAAAAGACCAACCAGGCCAACCCAACGCCUAUUAGCGACCGACCGGAAUCACUGCAGUAUAAUAAAGUGGUAAAUGUUAUUUCCAGUGGCUCAGAUAUUUGUGGACUAACCUCAUAUGCAGCUAAAAGGAUAAAAAGAGGAGAACCUAGAGCCGUCAAAGAGGGGCAGAACGAGGAUGAGAUCGCACUCGACAAAUGCCUUACAACUAUGUCAAUCACCUUUGACGACUCAGAUUCAGUCUACGCACACCAGGAGCAUCACGACGGAUUGGUGAUAUCACUCCCCAUCGGAAACGCUCAGAUCAAAAGGAUAUUGAUCGAAAUUGAAAGUUCCGCAAAUGUGUUGUUUCUCGAAGCUCUACAGGAGAUGGGGAUCGCCAAGAAGAUCAUAGUCAAGAGGUCAACAAUUUUGGUAGGGUUCAGUGGAGAGUCGAUGCGCACAGUAGGGAAGAUAUCCUUCCCAGGUACGCAGAAGACGUCAACAUGAUGACCAAAUUCAACGUUGUAGACUGCCCAUCAGCAUACAACGUCAUUUUGGGAAAGCCCUGGAUCCACAAGAUGAAAGCAGUUCCAUCCACCUACCACCAAUCAAUCAAAUUCCCUACCAAGUGGGGAGUCAUGGAAAUCAAAGGACAACAACGCGAGGCCGAACGCUGCUACGAGACUGCACUUAAGCCAUCAAAGUCAUCCAUCUAGCAAUUACAGCAAGGGUCGACAACAGAUGAUCCAGACGACCAACAGAUUGACGAGAUUGUGUCAUACCCAGCUAAGCCAGAUUAGGUCGUAAGGAUCGGAGCGUCGCUCCCUCACGACAUCAGAAGUCAGAUAGUGGCGUUCCUAAGAGAAAACCUGGACUACUUCGCCUGGUCGCACGAAGAUAUGACAGGAAUCAACCCACACGUCAUCAUCCAUAAGCUCGACGUCGACCCCAACUUCAAACCAGCCAAGCAUAAGUGACGAAAGUUCGCACCCGAAACAAACAAGAUCAUAGAUGAAGAGGUCUAGGAAUUGAUCGAGACAUGGAAGAUUCGAGAACUCAAGCAUCCGGAUUGGUUAGCAAAUGUAGUCGUCGUUAGGGGUGCUCAUAAAAAACCGUAACCGCGAACCGUACCGAAAAUAGAAAAAAUCGGACUAAACGGGCGGUAAACCGAACCGAAAAAAUAACAUAAGUGGUUACGGUAACUGAAUCGACAAAAUUAUCGUUUAAACGGGUCAGUUACGGUUAUAAAUUUUGACAAAACGAUUAACCGAAAAAACUGAAUUUUUUUUAAAAAAACUUAUUCAAUUUAAUUUAGUUGGAGGUGACAAAAUCACUAAAUUAUAAGUAAAGUAGUUUUGUGCGCUGCUAGCUCAAUUAGGUACUUAAUUCUUAGGCACUUAGCCCAUGAGUUCAUUAUUGCAAAAAUUAGUACGUGACUUCGUAAUUUUGUUCGAACAUAUGAACUUGUGUAAUUUUUGACAUUGUUUGGACUUAUUUUUGUUUUACUUGAUCUUCUAUUUAAAAAUGUUAUUUCUUGUAUAAAAAAUAAUUCGAUAAAUGAGAUCCAAAAUAGAAAUAAAAAAUUGAAUAUCGGUUUAUGGUUAACCGUGUAACUGUACCGAAACCGCGGUUAACCGUUUACACGGUAACCGGUUUAAACAGUACGGUUACGGUUCAUGAAAAUGCCGAAUCGAAAAUUUCGGUUACCAAAUCGAAUCAAGAUUCGGGACGGUUAACCACCCAUGAACACCACUAGUCGUCGUCAUUAAAAAGAACGAUAAGUGGAGGGUUUGCAUAGACUUCACCGACAUCAACAAAGCAUGCCCCAAGGAUCCCUUUCCUUUGCCGCACAUGGACGCCAUGGUGGACGCCACAACCGGUCACGAAUUGCUGACAUUUAUGGACGUUUAUUCUGGAUAUAAUCAGAUCCUCUUGCACCCAGAGGAUCAAGAAAAAACAGCUUUUGUAACAGACAGAGGAAUAUAUUGUUAUAAAGUCAUGCCUUUUGGUCUUAAGAAUGCAGUGCGACGUACUAGCGACUGGUCAACAAGAUGUUCAAAGAUAAGCUUGGAGACACGAUGGAAGUUUACAUUGACAACAUGUUGGUGAAAUCGAAGAAAGCAGGCGACCACGUGGAACACCUACGCCCAUCCUUUUAAAUAUUAAGGAAAUACGAUAUGAAACUAAACCUUACUAAAUGUUCUUUUGGAGUGUCUGUAGGAAAGUUCUUGGGCUACAUCGUCACCUAACGAGGAAUCGAAGCAAGCCCAGACCAAGUACGAGCGAUCAUCAACAUUCAGUCACCAAGAAACAUAAAAGAGGUACAACGCUUGAUAAGACGAGUGGCAACAUUAAAUCGUUUCAUCUCGAGGUCGUCAUACAAAUGUCGACUAUUUUAUGAUGUCUUGCGGAAAAAUAAAGGAUUCGUCUGGUCUGACGACCACGAAGAGGCUUUGCAAAAUCUUAAAAAAUACUUGAUGCCAUUACCCCUCAUGUCCAAGCCAAAGGAAGGGGAAGUCUUACAACUUUACCUUGCCGUCAGUCCAGUAGCAGUGAACGCAGUGCUAGCCCGAGAAAAUGAGACACAUCAGCUACCCAUCUACUAAAUUAGUAAGUCUCUGUUAGACGCAGAGACCAAUUACUCUUCUCUAGAAAAACUCGUUUUAGCACUCGUCACUGCUGCCAAGAAGCUAAGGCAUUACUUUGAAACCCACCAAAUGGUGGCCGGUGAUGACUAACCACCCCCAAUAAGUUUGUGAUGCGUAGGCCAGAACUUACAGGUCGCAUGGAAAAAUGGACGAUGGCGUUGGGAGGAUUCGACAUCAAAUACCAGCCAAGGACAUCAGUGAAGUCGCAAGCACUAGUUGAACUUGUGGCCGACUUCAUCCCCGACUUGGAAAAGGUACCAAAGACGAAGUAGAACACAUCAACAACGUAGACAAAGGUGGAGCAUGAACACUAUUCGUCGACGAAUCUUUAAACAAAGGUGGAGCAGGGUUAGGCGUCAUGCUGAAACCACCACAAGGGGACAUGAUAUCACAUGCCAUAUGUUGCGACUUCAGGGCGACAAAUAAUGAAGCAGAUUACGAGGCGCUGAUCGCUGGAAUGACACUAGCAGAGAACCUAGGAGCGACAAGACUUAACAUUUUCAGAGAUUCCCAAUUGAUCGUCAACGAAAUGGAGACUAUGAAGCCAAAGACCUCAAAAUGACCCUAUACCUUGAAGCAGCAAAAAAGGAAACCACAAAAUUCAACCCAUUUUCCAUAAAACAAGUCCCAAGAGACAAAAACACACAAGCCAACGCACUCGCAAACCUAGGAUCAACGCUGAGAAAGUCACCCUUGUCAACCAUACCCUUAGUACACCUGUUGUCGCCAACUAUUGAUAAAGAAAAUCCACCAGACAACAACCUCGUCAUAACAACCACAAACACAGAAAGUUGGACAAAAUCCAUCCCCGAUUACCUCCUCCAUGAAACCCUUCCUAACGACAAGCUCGAAGCCGGAAACAUCCUAUUUAAAGCUUCACGCUAUGCUAUUUUGCAGGGUGUCCUUUUUAAGAAAUCGGCCAACGGAACGAUGAUGAGAUGCACAGACAAAGCAGAAUGGGAAGGGCUACUCCAACAAUACCACGAAGGAUAAUUUGGAAGUCACGAAGGCGAUCGAACUCUAUCAAUCAAAGUCAAGAGGAACGGGUACUACUGGUCGACAAUGUUCAAAGACGCCAUGAGCUACGUCGCCAAGUGCGAUAAAUUCCAAAGGCACGCAAGUAUGAUACACAAACCAUCUGAAUUACUACAUCCCACUUUGACACCUUGCCCUUUCAUGAAAUGGGGAAUGGAUAUCGUUGGAAAACUGCCCGUCGCCUUAGGACAAAAGGUCUUUAUGUUAGCACUAACAUAUUACUUUUCUAAGUGGAUAGAAGCAGGUGAAUACUAACAAGUAAGAGACGAAGAAGUUUGCUUGUUUAUCUGGAAUAACAUAAUAUGUAGGUUUGGUGUACCAUCAGAAAUCGUAUGCGACAACGGAUCCAAAUUCAUAAGCGACAAGAUGAUAGCUUUCUGCAAAACGUGGAACAUCGAGCUGAAAACAUCAACGCCAAGUACCCCCAAGAAAACGGUAAAGCAAAGUCGAGCAACAAGACGGUCGCCGGGUCGUUAAAGAAGCGACUAGAUAUAAAGAAGGGGCGUUGGGAAGAGGAAUUUCCCUCCAUCCUAUGGGCCAAUAGGACGACACCUAGGACGGCGACGGGGCAGAUGCCUUUCUCACUUGUCUAUGGGUGUGAAGCAGUACUACCCCCGGAAGUGAAAUUGCCCAGUGCGAGACACGGGUUGAUGACACAGGAGUAGAACGACGUGGAGCUAAGGGAGAACCUCGACGACACAGAAGAACUUAGAGAAGAAGCAUUGAUAAGGAUGACGUCUUAACAACAGAUCGUCGCGAAGUGUUUCAACAAGAACGUCAAGGAAAAUAUCUUCAAACAGGGCGACUGGGUACUGCACAAAGUGUUUCAGAACACUAGGGAAUCAAAUGCAAGUAACCUGACACCAGCUUGGGAAGGACCAUACCUGAUCGACAAGAUAAUCGGCAAAGGAGCAUACAGACUUGCCACUAAGGAUGAAAAGUUGGUCCCUCGAAGAUGGAACACCACCAACCUUAAACUCUAUCACUUUUGAAGCUUUCGUCGUUCACAAUUUUAUCAGUUUUAUCGCUUUCAUUUCAUUACUCUUUUUUUACAUACUUUAUAGCUUUCCAUUUUUUCUCAACUAUUACUGACUUAGGCAUCGGAGGGCCGUUGGCACCCCCGACCGCCUAUUCUUCUAGUGACCAAUGUUUGCCUUGCAGGAACAACGAUCGACAAAGGCAUGCGUCAUCAACAAACGACGACUACACCAAAUAAUGCCACGUCAAUAUGGUCAUGACCAUUAAACUUAUUGGAUCCCAACAACGACGCGUCGCCACAAAGCGCGACCAUUUAACAACGCAGGCGGAGAAUUCUCUGUAGGGGACUUUUGAAAUCGUUAAAGUGGCCUAUUAAUUUGUUUACACAAGGUGAUUUUACGAUCAUUUGGAUGCUUUCGGAGUGUUCAAAGUUGAUUUGGAUGAUGAACGGAUGGGAUGUUGACUUGAGGAUCAUUACAUGUCUCUAUGAAUAAUUUUGAGUCAACAACGAAGCUAAACGUUAUUUUUCUAAGCAUAAAAACGGACAAGCGUUCACUCUUUUGAUGAUAUCUCAAGUUCUAUAUAUCGGAAUGAGAUAAUUUUGAUUGGGCUAGAAAAUAGAGUUAAAGAGCUUUCCAACGAUAGGUCACACGUCCCUAGAGGCAUUGUAGAACAAGAGUUAUGACAUAAACGCUUCGCCCAACUAUGCAGCGAGGGAUCACUCGCCUCCAGCGAGGGAUGUCCCUUGCGCUAGUCCCCUUGCUGCCCACACCAACUCACCGCGCACCAGCAGCCAGCGAGCGAUGCCUCGCCAUCAGUGAGGAUGCCCGCACAGCCUUCGUCUCGCGCAUCAACCCCCCAGCUAGCGCUCGAUCGGCCCAGCGAGGGAUCUCGCGCUCCCCUCUACCAUUCUCGACACGCACGCACAUUAGCUUGCCCAGCAAGGGAUCGCCCGCCUACAGCGAGAGAUGUGCCUACUACACGCCUACAAUGCUGCCCCGUCGUGCUACACUUCGCGUCUCUUGGAUGGCUCGAUCGCGCUCGGGUUUCAUUGCCACGUCAUCUUCCAUCGACCAAUCAUUGACGACUUCCAUCUUUAUUUUCUUAUUUAUUUAUUUAUUUAUUUUAUUUUAGAAAAUAGGAGCAUAUAAAUACUCAAGGGAAUGCUUUUAUUUUCCUUCAUGUUAUUAUUUCCUUAGAAUUUCAUUUUCAUGUUUCUUUUCUCUCUUCUCUUUUUCAUGAACCCUAGUUUUUCUACAUACUCCAUCAAUGUAAUCCUUUGAGGUAUAAUUGAUUUUUCUCUUUAUUUUAUUUGUUGC
Molecule: long non-coding RNA, 6835 nt
Organism: Spinacia oleracea (spinach)
Lineage: Eukaryota; Viridiplantae; Streptophyta; Magnoliopsida; Caryophyllales; Amaranthaceae
Exons: 3
Source: RefSeq, a predicted model, not a curated record